UGGUGGCGAGUGGCGAACGGGUGANUAAUACAUCGGAACGUGUCCUGUAGUGGGGGAUAGCCCGGCGAAAGCCGGAUUAAUACCGCAUACGCUCUACGGAGGAAAGGGGGGGAUCUUNGGACCUCCCGCUACAGGGGCGGCCGAUGGCAGAUUAGCUAGUUGGUGGGGUAAAGGCCUACCAAGGCGACGAUCUGUAGCUGGUCUGAGAGGACGACCAGCCACACUGGGACUGAGACACGGCCCAGACUCCUACGGGAGGCAGCAGUGGGGAAUUUUGGACAAUGGGGGAAACCCUGAUCCAGCAAUGCCGCGUGUGUGAAGAAGGCCUUCGGGUUGUAAAGCACUUUUGUCCGGAAAGAAAACCUCUGGGUUAAUACCCCGGGGGGAUGACGGUACCGGAAGAAUAAGCACCGGCUAACUACGUGCCAGCAGCCGCGGUAAUACGUAGGGUGCAAGCGUUAAUCGGAAUUACUGGGCGUAAAGCGUGCGCAGGCGGUCCGCUAAGACAGAUGUGAAAUCCCCGGGCUUAACCUGGGAACUGCAUUUGUGACUGGCGGGCUAGAGUAUGGCAGAGGGGGGUAGAAUUCCACGUGUAGCAGUGAAAUGCGUANAGAUGUGGAGGAAUACCGAUGGCGAAGGCAGCCCCCUGGGCCNAUACUGA
RNAcentral lists this ribosomal RNA (661 nucleotides) under Paraburkholderia sp. RNAcentral's name for it is "bacterial SSU rRNA". It matches the Rfam family "Bacterial small subunit ribosomal RNA", at positions 86 to 743 of the family's 1533-position model. Lineage: Bacteria; Pseudomonadati; Pseudomonadota; Betaproteobacteria; Burkholderiales; Burkholderiaceae. The record is from RNAcentral.